GACGAACGCUGGCGGCGUGCUUAACACAUGCAAGUCGAACGGAAAGGCCCUGCUUUUGUGGGGUGCCCGAGUGGCGAACGGGUGAGUAACACGUGAGUAACCUGCCCUUGACUUUGGGAUAACUUCAGGAAACUGGGGCUAAUACCGGACAGGAGCUCCUGCUGCAUGGUGGGGGUUGGAAAGUUUCGGCGGUUGGGGAUGGACUCGCGGCUUAUCAGCUUGUUGGUGGGGUGGUGGCUUACCAAGGCUUUGACGGGUAGCCGGCCUGGGAGGGUGACCGGCCACCUUGGGACUGCGAUACGGCCCAGACUCCUACGGGAGGCAGCAGUGGGGAAUAUUGCACAAUGGGCGGAAGCCUGAUGCAGCAACGCCGCGUGCGGGAUGACGGCCUGCGGGUUGUAAACCGCUUUCGCCUGUGACGAAGCGUGAGUGACGGUAAUGGAUGAAGAAGCACCGGCUAACUACGUG
RNAcentral lists this ribosomal RNA (468 nucleotides) under uncultured bacterium. RNAcentral describes it as "partial 16S ribosomal RNA". It matches the Rfam family "Bacterial small subunit ribosomal RNA", at positions 28 to 507 of the family's 1533-position model. The record is from RNAcentral.